RNAcentral lists this long non-coding RNA (684 nucleotides) under Piliocolobus tephrosceles (Ugandan red Colobus). RNAcentral describes it as "lncRNA (ENSPTEG00000020120.1)". The record is from RNAcentral. Lineage: Eukaryota; Metazoa; Chordata; Mammalia; Primates; Cercopithecidae.
CUGGCUUACUUACCAAGAAAAUGAAUUCAGGAAAUUUGAUUCUAGUAGAGAACUAGAACAAGCAAAUAGGAUGAGCAACCACUUAUUGGAAUAGUGUAUUUAAAUUUGAGGUACAGUGAUUUUUUUUUUUCUCCCAAGGGUUAAGAAUAUGAUCAAAAGCCUGGAGCUGAAAGAAGGACAAUAUGUAUGCAAGACAGUGAGGACACUUAGCUGACCAGAGAGGGUGAACAGCUGCGCAGAUACUCAGAAUGAUAUCUGAGGUCCACUGAGCUAAGAAAAUACCAUAAUUACUCAGGUAUAACAUAAUGAAAACCUGGCAAAGGAGAAGAAAGAAUAAGAGAAGGAAGGGAGAUGAUAGAAGAACGACAGCCCAUGGCAACAGAUUGAAUAUAGAAGGACCAGAAGCCAGAAAUGCAAUUUGCCAAGCAUAUGAAGAACAUGUUCUUACUAGUUUUUGAUAACUUAAAAUACUUCUUCAUCUAAAACCAGGCUGAUCUUGAGAAAAAUUUUAAAGGAGAUUAGAAAAUUCACUUUAACAAACCACCAUCAUAUAGUCACAUCAAUCUUUCACAGAUAUUUUUCCAACAAUUACCAGAAUUCUUAGAGCUUAUUACUGAUAUUUUGUUCUUAACCUUUGACAAUUGCCAUUUAGCAAUUGCAUGGUUUUACCUUUGUGGUUGUAGA